AGAACUCUUUCACAAUAAUGACAAAGUGCAUUGAGCACUUACUACAUGUUAGGUGUAAAUGCUCUGUUUGAGUUCUCUCACCCAAUUCUCAUAAUUUGAGUCUUCACAUUGAGUCUCACAUUGAGCCAUGUAAGUUGAGUUGUUGCCUGAGACUAAGACAGGCUGAAUAGCUUCCCCACAGUCUCAUGGCUAGUAACUGGGACCUCUACACCUGAUUUCUCUUAUUCCAGCUCCUGUACUCUUGCUCUCACUUCUGGGAGACAGGCUACUGCCACUAUGAAGCCUUUUACAGGUAAGGCAACUCACGGCUGAUGGCCUGCCCAAUAGAGCCCCAGGCAGUGAUUCCCAACCCUGGUUGUUUGUUAGAAUCAACUGAAGAGCUAAAAACACAGCAAAAAACAAUGCCAAGGCUGCAUCCUUAACAAAAUGAUUCAAGUGAUCUGGGAAGGGGCCCCAAUGUCAGUAUUUUUAGAUAGAUUCCCAGAGGAUUCUAAAAAAAAAAAAAAAAAAUGCAGCCAGGUUUGAAAAUCUAUGACAGAUCAACCAACUCCUGGUGUAGAGUUUAACCAACCAAAAAGUUUCACUGAUCUCAUAACCCCACCAGUCCAGUAGAGAGUGCCUGGGAGCCUUUAGGUCACCCCUACAUUCCCCUUUGAGAACUGAAAACAUUUGCUCAGUUUGCUCAUCUAUAAAAUGAGAAUGAGAGCUCACAGAACUACUGAUCACAUCUGAACUUGUCAAAUGUUUGUCCUAGAACACGGUAAGUGCUCAGCAAAUGGCAGCGGGGUGAAGAUAGUUGUCACAGACUAAGGGGCACUAAUUUCCUGAACCUGGUCCAGAUCUCAUGGCCCAAGGACAGAACUUUGUCAGCCAGAGGCACUUGGAACAAGUUCCCUCACUUUUGUCAACCACUAAUCCCUUAAAACCAGUCUUGAGGAUACAUACACACACACAUACAUCCCAGCAUCUCCACACCUACGUAUUUGUCCAGGAAGUGGCCCCUUCAGCAACAUUAUGUGUGGAUAAGCCAUGAUGACAGAUAAGUGAGGCAUCUUGGGAUUAUCAAUGCAAAUCAUCACAGUUUGCACUGUUGCUCUGAGCACUCAGAGGUCCAGGGCAGGACCUCCCAAUACAGAGCGAACAUAGACAGGAAUCUCUUACUACUCACUUGCCUAAUCAUUUCCACUUAACACACAGUGAAAGCAGAACUUUGUGACACACUUGUCCUGUCUGGGCAAAGGUUCUGCUUUUUCUGGAAGAUCUUGGAAAAAGAAAAAGCCCCGAAAACUUGGCCAUGAGAGAGGGAAGGCUUCUCAAACUUUCAUCCAUUCAACCAGCAUCCGUGGUCAGCUGUCUCACCUGUGUGUCGUUCAUCUGUGUGCCUGGCAUUGUCUUGAGCACAAGUUAGAGAAGUCACUGCCCUGGAGUCAGCAGCGGUCUGGGGGAGAAAACAGGUAAAGAGGCAACCCUACGACUUGAAAUUAGGACCCUUUUUCUGAGAUAUCUGAAAAAACUUUCCAUUUUGUCAAUGAACACUGUGUUUCAUGAACCUCUUGGCAGUGCUGAUAUUCAGUCAUCAUGCACAGGCAGAGCCAGAAAGGUUACUGAACUAUAUUUGAAAUAUGUCUGAAUCAGCGGGCAAAUUGCCACUGCCCUGACCACCCCCACUGUCCCCCACUACCACCUGGAAAAUGCAGCACUGAAAAGGUUAACUCUUGACACGUAAGAGGCAUCCGGGACAAUGCUCUAGCACCACCCCAGCCUCCUGAUUGGUUAGUGCCUAUGGUGAGCAUGUUGUCCAACUUGCCUCUUGGUAAGCGGCAGCUCUAGAGUUCUUAAAGAGAGAGGUCUUUAGAGCUGUAAUUUACUUGCAGGUUAGAGAUUAUGAGCCUGUCUUGAAGCUGCAUAUGCACAGCAAGUUCAAGGGUUUUACUUAGACUGUAUGUCUAUUUGGGAUAGCUUAGGCUUGCUGAUGGCUAUUUUAAGGGGCUAGAGUCCUUACCUUCACAACCACUUCUUGGCAAUUCUUCUACUCUAAAUUUGAAUUUUUAGGAUACCUAUAUUUCCAGGAAGACCCUCUCACAAAGAAAAACUAACUCAAUACAUGGAAGUCCAAGCAAAUACAUUAAGAAAAUAUUUGCCAUUGAGAAAGACUGAAAAUAUGUUUAUAUUUUAUGUGAAUCUUUCCCCAAUGAGAAGCUUAUCAGGAAUGCAUUUAUUAGCACAAUGUGACAGAGCCCCCAUAAUUUGCACAUGAUUGGCAGCUCUGAUAGUUGUUCCUGUGGGGACAGGAGCAUUGCCCAGCUAAGUGCCCAAGAAAUGAUUAUCUAAUGAUAUUGCGUGGUUCCCAUGCCUGAGCCCUCAGACCCUCUCCUCAUACUUCCCUUGCUCUGCUCUGUAUCAACCCUCUACCCCACAGUGUCUUCUGGCUUUCUACUGGGCUUAACCAAUGGGAGGUCAACUGAAAGGUAACUGGAGGAGUUCCCAUUGUGGCUCAGCUGGUUAAAGACCUGACCUUGUCUCCAUGAGGACAGAGGUUUGAUUCCUGGCCUCACUCAGGGGGUUAAGGAUCCAGCAAUGCUGCAGGCUGCAAUGCAGGUCACAGAUAUGGCUUGGAUCCCACGUUGCUGUGGCUGUGGCAUAGGCCGGCAGCUGCAGCUCUGAUUCAGCCUCUAGCCCAGGAACUUCCAUAUGCCAUAGGUAGUAUUUCUCCUCCUUUCUCCUCUGCCUCAGGCAAUACCCCAGGCUACAGUCUAUAACUGUAGUGCAGUUACCAGCUCUCACAGGACAAAGCUGCCAGCUUCUGCCAGGACAAUGGUUCCAAGGCUCCCGCAAUUCUACCUCCUUUGCCUUUUCUUCUCCAGCUUCUAGCUGGCUUUCAGCUAUUGGCAAUCUUGGGUUGCCUCACUGGCUGGCUCCUGUUGGCUUUUCUUCAUACCCAUCAUCUGUCUGACCAAUUCCCUGAAAAAAAUUCCCUCUACUCCAGUCUGAUUGGUUUCUAUUUUCCCAGUUGGACUCCGACACAUUGACUAACAGUGAUCUUUAGAAUGUUGUUCCUUCCCCUUUCUAGUCCUCAGUUUCCCUGUUUGUAAAUGAGACUGGAGGAAGCACUUAGCAGGCUUUAUUUUGGCUCCCUAGUAUCUAGCAAUGUAGGGGAACCUCUAAGGGUCAAAAUGCCCUCCACAUUUCAGGAAAGUACCUCAUUUUGUUUCCUGAAGCAGUUUUCAUUUUGAACUGCAGCUUCAAAUCCUUUCUUUGGAAAUUUACAGGGCAAAAAUUCUAAAGAAUAUAUUUUGAACUAUGCCAUUUUAAAAGCAAUAUAUUCAUUGCUUCUUUCCUAUACAUUUUGUAAUUUGGCACUUCUUUAUCAUUUCUUGAAGUCCUGAAGGUUUAACUGGUUUCCCUCCAGUCUUUCUGUUUGUUUGUCUUUGUCUUUUUAUAGGGCUGCAUCUGCGGCAUAUGGAGGUUCCCAGGCUAGGGGUCAAAUCAGAGCUGAACCUGCCGGCCUACACUAGAGGCACAGCAACGCCAGGUCCGCCGUGUCUGCAACCUACACCACAGCUCACAGCAAUGCCGGAUCCUUAACCCACUGCCCGGGAUCGAACCCACAACCUCCUGUUCCUAGUUGGAUUCAUUAACCACUGAGCCACGACGGGAACUCCUCCCUCUAGUCUUAAUACUCUGCCAUUUGAUGAUGUGACUUGUGGUCGUAUUCCCAUUUUUUCUUUUGCUUUAAAAAAUUUUUCUUAGAGUUUUAGACUUUGCCAAUGUGAAUCACUAUCUUUCUGGGUUGAAAGAUUCACAUUACUUAGUUUCUCCUCAAGCCCUGACCUGUGCCCUGGAUCAUUUUAAAUGCCUUUCUCUACAUCCUUAGAAAUCCUUCAAUGUCUUCCAUGGCUGCCAUAGGUGAAGAUAUGCAUGGCCAUGUGCUUUAGGUGGAGAGUGCUUCUGUUGGUUUCCCAUUUGCCUUCUCCAAACACUAUGUUGCAUGCAGCCCCUCACCUCCACAUCGACCUGAUUCCUCAGGCAAGGUCCCAAUAGGCCUGGCAUGGAGUAGUGCCUAUGGUUCCUGCUGGGCCCUCUUGAGCAAUCUUGGUGGUGAGACCCAUGGACUUCCUCAGCUGCCUCCCAAGCUUCUGCAGAGGCAAAACUCAGGCAACCAAUGAGCUAGAAGUAUGGGUUGUGCAUAGCCAGAUCCCUGUCAGGAGUGAUUCAGCAAGUGGUGACACACUGGCUUCUUAGAACUGGAUUCUGAGAGGAAGGACAGGGAUGGCCACACAUGUGGCUUCACAGAAGUAGCCCAAGCAUAGUGGAGUCAGACAUGGUUCCACUGAACACUCACUGUGAAAACCUCUUUAAUAAUGAUGGCCAACAAUAUUUAUUAAGCUCUAAUUAUGUGAUGUGUAUACUGUGCAAAGUGUUCCUGCCUGCUUUAUCUUAUUUAAUCCAAAUGGUGCUUAUGGCACAGAUUUUACAGAUGAGGAAACAGGCUAAGAACAAUUAAGCAAUUUGACCAAAUCAUAUAACUAGAAAGUGAUAGAGUCAGGAAAUCCCCUAGAUCUCUCUGCUUUCAUAUUCUCUGCCACAGAGCAAGUGAAUUAAAUUUUCCAAGCACAAGAUACCUUGUUACCUUGUCUUUCACAGUAGGAUAUUAAUACAACUAUCUUGCAGUAUUAUUUCAUAUUUUCCCCUUCUAUCUCUCUGUCUUUCUCCCCUUUAAUAUAUGUUGAGUUUCUAUUUUAUCUAUACACCGAUUUACAUCUAGGUGACAAUAGAGUUCACUAGCCAAAUAAACAAAAGAAAUUGUAAUUUCAAAUAAUUCAGUAAGUAUGCAAAAUUUACUGGAAAGUAUUUUGGAAGUCUCUCUUUAGGUAGUAUGUGGGCCUUGAUUCAAACGGGUCCUCAAAAUGCAUGUAAAGAAUUCAAAACACUGUAAAACAACAGAGGUCCUUUCUCCACCACCCUGCACACACCCUGUUUUCGCACGUGGGGUAUGAGAGCAGCUGGUGGAAGGGGCCCCAGUCUGAGCAAAGAGCAACUCACCAGGCACAAGUGGAGUCAUCAGCUCUUGCCUGUGUCUUAUUCUAUCCAAAGCUCUGAUGAAGAACUAGGUCGGAGCAGGUCCUGAUGCAGUGGGCUGGCACCAGAAAGCAAUUUGGAAGUGGCUUAAACCAGGGGGAUGGUACAAAAUGGCAGUCCCUUUCCAUUUGAGAAUUUAAUAUUCAAGAUCUCAAGUGUUCAGGAGCAUGCUGAGGAGUCUUAGGAGAGAGCAGGAUGGGAGUUUGGACAGAGUGCAUUUGCAGGGCCACCAUUUGACUCAUUCUCUCUUGAAGAUAAGUGCAUCUUGGCAGGAAUGGAUUAUCAUCCACUCCUGGUUGCCGAUACAGAGGAACCCUUUAGAUAUGUAGACCCAAACCUGCUUAUUACUAGGGGGUUGAGGAAGCCAUCAAGGAGAGAAAUAAUUUGAAAGAGGAAAGCUGAAGCAGAAGUUGACAAGGGAUGUUAAUGGAUCCUUGGGCACCUGGAGAUGAGCCUGAUAACGACUGGGGCUAGAGCAAGAGCCAAUAAAAUGUUUCUGAGCUCAACUCUC
This 5590-nucleotide long non-coding RNA is filed under the name Sus scrofa (pig). Its description in RNAcentral is "lncRNA (ENSSSCG00035073979.1)". Lineage: Eukaryota; Metazoa; Chordata; Mammalia; Artiodactyla; Suidae. The record is from RNAcentral.